AGAGACGUUGCCUCGGGUAUACCUCCCACCCUUGUUAUUAUACCUUUAAUUGCUUGGCCCGUCUCGGACCCGGACUUCUGGUCAGGCCCGCCAGAGGACCUAAACCUCUGAUUUGUUAAUAUUGUCUGAGUAGCUAUAUAAAUAGAUCA
RNAcentral lists this unclassified non-coding RNA (149 nucleotides) under soil metagenome. RNAcentral describes it as "partial internal transcribed spacer 1". The record is from RNAcentral.